GAGUCGCAAGACCGCGAGGUUUAGCAAAUCUCUUAAGGCCGUUCUCAGUUCGGAUUGUAGGCUGCAACUCGCCUACAUGAAGUCGGAAUCGCUAGUAAUCGCGGAUCAGCAUGCCGCGGUGAAUACGUUCCCGGGCCUUGUACACACCGCCCGUCACACCAUGGGAGUCGAUAACGCCCGAAGUCAGUGACCCAACCGAGAGGAGGGAGCUGCCGAAGGCGGGAUGGAUAACUGGGGUGAAGUCGUAACAAGGUAAC
This 257-nucleotide ribosomal RNA is filed under the name uncultured bacterium. Its description in RNAcentral is "partial 16S ribosomal RNA". It matches the Rfam family "Bacterial small subunit ribosomal RNA", at positions 1244 to 1500 of the family's 1533-position model. The record is from RNAcentral.